AGACACCCCACAGCGUCAGAGCUGCCGCGCUGGAGCAGCCUGGGCUCUGGGCAGGGCAGCUGGGCAGCGCUCCCUGGCAUGGGCUGUCUGCCUCUUUCUGUUUUCGGGGUGCACGGGCUCCUCUCCGGCCCUCCGGGGCUUUUUGUGCGAUGAAUCUGAGUUACAGCAGGGAAUCGAUCCAGGUGAUAAAUGCUGCAUCACUUGAUGAAGUGUGACCAAGGACUACACCCUUCCAGCCCUGAGGGUUUGAAGGUCUCACAGGUCAGCAGUGGUCCCCUCUGCCAGCUGGUGACACUGGGAUCACAAUGGUCCAUGCUCCUCCUUGCUAGCCCAGACCCAACACCAAGGCUGAGAGCCUCCUGGCACACACAGGAAACCACUGUACCAGCUCCCAAGGGCCUGCUAGGAUGGAUCCAUACAUCUAACCUACAGAAAGGGCCAUGCAGAUCCAUACAUCUGGAAUCCACAUUGUGUACAUGGACAAGGUAAAUUGAAAAACAACAUCAUAACUUAUUAUCAAACUAAGAUUAAUAUGCAGGCUGUCUUUUUGAGUCAAGGACAUUUCAAUUUACUCUGAUGCAACAAGCUCAGAUUUUUGUUUUCUCUUUUAAAUAAUGUACAGUGAAAAAAUAGAUACAUAACCAGUAACUACUUUGGCAAACCCUAA
Long non-coding RNA from Passer domesticus (house sparrow), 667 nucleotides. RefSeq lists it as uncharacterized. NCBI's taxonomy places the organism in Eukaryota, Metazoa, Chordata, Aves, Passeriformes, Passeridae. The record is from RefSeq and is a predicted model, not a curated record. The transcript is spliced from 3 exons.